AUUGAACGCUGGCGGCAUGCCUUACACAUGCAAGUCGGACGGCAGCACGGGAGCAAUCCUGGUGGCGAGUGGCGAACGGGUGAGUAAUAUAUCGGAACGUGCCCAGUCGUGGGGGAUAACGCAGCGAAAGCUGUGCUAAUACCGCAUACGAUCUAUGGAUGAAAGCGGGGGAUCGCAAGACCUCGCGCGAUUGGAGCGGCCGAUAUCAGAUUAGCUAGUUGGUGAGGUAAAGGCUCACCAAGGCGACGAUCUGUAGCUGGUCUGAGAGGACGACCAGCCACACUGGAACUGAGACACGGUCCAGACUCCUACGGGAGGCAGCAGUGGGGAAUUUUGGACAAUGGGCGCAAGCCUGAUCCAGCAAUGCCGCGUGCAGGAUGAAGGCCUUCGGGUUGUAAACUGCUUUUGUACGGAACGAAACGGUCUUUCCUAAUACGAGAGGCUAAUGACGGUACCGUAAGAAUAAGCACCGGCUAACUACGUGCCAGCCGCCGCCGUAA
This 500-nucleotide ribosomal RNA is filed under the name uncultured bacterium. RNAcentral describes it as "partial 16S ribosomal RNA". It matches the Rfam family "Bacterial small subunit ribosomal RNA", at positions 30 to 523 of the family's 1533-position model. The record is from RNAcentral.